Molecule: long non-coding RNA, 1029 nt
Filed under: Papio anubis (olive baboon)
Lineage: Eukaryota; Metazoa; Chordata; Mammalia; Primates; Cercopithecidae
Description: lncRNA (ENSPANG00000045022.1)
Source: RNAcentral
UUUAUGUAGAAAUACACUUUAAUGAAUUAUGCUUAGAGUAAUACACUCUGCAGAAUUUUUUGCAAUUAUAAUUUCUCUUAUUAAUUUUUGAUAUGGUUCAGAAAUAUUUUCCAAUCCCACUGCCCCUCAGUCAAGGAAGGCAUGUUGGAUGGAAAAUAAAUGGUGAAAUUUGCAAGCAAAUGCAAAACAUAGAGAUCUGGCAAAGAUCUGUAACACAACAGCAAAUAUUUUGUGUUUCUUUCAAUAGAACACAUUGACAAAUUUAAGAAGAGGCAUCUAGGUUUGACAUAAACCUAAUGUUUCCCAACUUACCUUCAUUGGUAGCUUCAAACACAGUUGGACCUUGCUCUGAUUUUGCAUGGUAGAAGAGAAAGGAUGCAACCAUGUCUGACCAUGUCAGAUAAAGAAUCAAUAGCUGUUCACUUCUGUAAGCUACCUCAAUCUUCAGCAGCCACCAACCUAAUCAGCCAGCAGCCAGCAAUAUUGAGGCAAGAUACCCUACCAGCAAAAAGAUUAUGGUUUGCUGAAGGCUCAGAUGAUUGUUAGAGUUUUUAUUGCUAGUCUUUAAUUAGGGUAUGUACAUUUUUUUAGACAUAAUACUGUUGCACACUUGAGACUAUAGUAUAGUGUAAACAUAACUUUUAUAUGCAGGAGAAAAUCCAAAAAAAUGUGUAACUUGCUUUAAUGCCAUAUUUGCUUUAUUGAGAUGAUCUGGAACUAAACCAGCAAUAUCACUGAGAUUUUCUUCUACUAUUAUUAAAAUAUUAACAAAAUAUUACAAAAUAUGUAAAUAAUAUUUUAUAUAAUGUCAGAUAAGAUUGCUCUGUUUUAGCAUAUCAGAGUAACUAGUCCCAAGCUAUCAUAGGUUAUUGAAUCUAAGGAUAAUAAUCCUGGCCUUCAUGAGUUCUAAUCCAAACACUAAAUAUAAUACCUCACAUGAGUACUAACAGUAACCUUAGUAUGUUUAAGUUAAACUGACACUUGUAAUUUAUCAACCACUGUUAUAUUUUUCUUGUUUUUUUAUUUUUU